UUUUAGAGUUUGAUUCCUGGCUCAGAUUGAACGCUGGCGGCAGGCUUAACACAUGCAAGUCGAGCGGUAACAGGGGUAGCUUGCUACCCGCUGACGAGCGGCGGACGGGUGAGUAAUGCUUAGGAAUCUGCCCAGUAGUGGGGGACAACAAUCGGAAACGGUUGCUAAUACCGCAUACGCCCUACGGGGGAAAGCAGGGGAUCUUCGGACCUUGCGCUAUUGGAUGAGCCUAAGUCGGAUUAGCUAGUUGGUAGGGUAAAGGCCUACCAAGGCGACGAUCCGUAGCUGGUCUGAGAGGAUGAUCAGCCACAUCGGGACUGAGACACGGCCCGAACUCCUACGGGAGGCAGCAGUGGGGAAUAUUGGACAAUGGGGGCAACCCUGAUCCAGCCAUGCCGCGUGUGUGAAGAAGGCUUUCGGGUUGUAAAGCACUUUCAGCGAGGAGGAAGGCUCUAAAGCUAAUACCUUUAGGGAUUGACGUACUCGCAGAAGAGC
RNAcentral lists this ribosomal RNA (495 nucleotides) under Marinobacter excellens. Its description in RNAcentral is "bacterial SSU rRNA". It matches the Rfam family "Bacterial small subunit ribosomal RNA", at positions 1 to 490 of the family's 1533-position model. Lineage: Bacteria; Pseudomonadati; Pseudomonadota; Gammaproteobacteria; Pseudomonadales; Marinobacteraceae. The record is from RNAcentral.